RNAcentral lists this long non-coding RNA (2230 nucleotides) under Theobroma cacao (cacao). Its description in RNAcentral is "long non-coding RNA (TCAC_LNC001257)". Lineage: Eukaryota; Viridiplantae; Streptophyta; Magnoliopsida; Malvales; Malvaceae. The record is from RNAcentral.
CCAUCAUGCAUUCAUAAUGGCAUCAUCAACCAUUAUAUACAUAUAAAGAUUAACAAAUGAAUCUUAACAUUAUAUUGGACCUUGAUUGUCAGCGGAGUGACUCUAGGCACGAUUGAUAAUCCUUAGUGGCACGUUAAACCUACAGAGCAAUGUAUAGGGAGGAGCACCUCGUCCUAGGAUCCAAUCACCUAUAACUCAAAAAACCUAAAACAUGAAUUUUAAAAAGAAAACGUGAGUACACACUCAGUGAGUGAACAUAGGAGGGGAACAAGCAACAUUAAGGAAGGUUUUAGAAAACAUGAUGCACUUGUUUCAAAAACAAUGCAAUUGAAUUAAUUUCUUACUAAAAAGCCCUCAUUCAAACCCUUGGUCACUUAGUCACUUGAUGAUGAAAAACUCAUGAACAACAAAGAAGUUGAGAAGUGAACACUUUAGUAGAAUUCAAGCAAGUCAAGCAUAAUAGAUUGACUCUCACCGCAGCAAAAAGGCAUUCUCACUGCAACGAAAUUCUGGCCAGAUAAAAUCCAAGGGGCUUUCAUUGCCACCGAGAAUAUCCACUCAUGCCACAUUGCACAUUAAAUUGAACACAUGGACAAUACUCAAGUUUUCAUUAUUCAUUUCAAUCAUAUGUUAUAAUCAUAAACUUUCUAUCACAUAUACAUAUAGAAACAUAUAUACGCAUGUACACCACCCCACUUCAUUCAUCAUCAUGUGCACGCCCUACUUGCACAUUUCCAUAUCAUCAUCAUCAUCAUCAUCAGCUCAUGUGCACUCCCUACAUCCGCACAUAGCUGUGCAUAACAUAUAUUUAUAUACAUACAUACCAACAUAAUAUAGGAGCACACAGAUUCAUCCUUUUACACAUUUCACAUUUUCACAAGAUCGAGACAUUUUUAUCAAGGGCUUGUUCCCUGGCACACAUUUUUAAAGAAAGGAUAGAUAAAAUCAUUCAAAUGUUUCACCCAAAUACAUUUACAUUUCCCAAAGCAAAUUUUGAAAUGCAAGUUCACUCACCUGGCAACAAUGAGAUAUUAAGUCGCUAUUUGUUUGGAGGUGUCUCUAACUAUUUUCACUGGUCGAUCGCUCAUUAUUUACUCCACCACAGUUCUCUAACCUUGACUUUGCACUUCCUAGCAAUAAUACGAACUCAAUAUAUUUAAUUACAUACAUAUACAGGCAGCACUUCAAUCAAUAAUCUUUACUCAAAUUUAUAUUUUUCAUCCUAUCAUGAAACCAUCUUCAAUUAACUCACAUCUUAAUACAUUUUUACCAAAAUUACUUAUAUCCAUUGCUUACGAAAUUCCUUAGAUUAUAUCACUGGCAACUUAUUUAUGAUUUCACGUGCCUACUUUAACCUUUCUAAAUAAUUUUUGCCAAAAUCCAUCUUUAUAUUUCCACACAUAAUCCACAUAUAUGGUAGUAACAAUCAUUCUCACUUUCACUCGAUUAUUUCCUAGUUUACAUGCAUCGUUAUCUAUCUAACUUUCAAUACUUUGUUUCUCAAUCCUCCAUCUACAAUAUUCCUUUUUCAUUUCUUUCAAACAACAUGCCAUACAAUCUUAAUAAUUUUCAACUAGCUUAGGCAAAUAAAUCCUUUCAACAACUAUAAUUCCUCACAAUAUUCAACUAAACGUAGGCUUUAAAACAUAGUGUUAAGCUUACCGUUUUCGUUUUCCACAUUGAGUCCUUCAUGUACCCAUGGGUUUAUUGGCUUACAUGUUACCAAUUUUUCUCCCAUCAAGCCAAUCUUUGCUACCACAAGACAUUUCUCUAAGUUACUAACUCAUUUUCAAAGACUACUCAAGCCAAAAACAAGAAUUCUUACCGUUCAUUGCUUGAAUCACCAAAACCAAGCUUUUUCUUCCUUUCUCUCUUUUUCUUUCUUCUCCUCUUAAGGUUUAGAUGUGUUGGAAAUUGGGGUUAAAGGCUGUAAAUUUAGUGCUCAAGAAGUUUGGAGAAGAAAGGAAAAGAAAACAUGGAAAGGAAAGUGAAGAAAACUUGAUUUCAUGGUGGAUAAAGAGAAAAUGACAUGGAAGCUUCAAGAAUGGUGCAGAGCAUGGAUAAAGAAGAAGAAAAAUCUGGUGGGGGAAAGGAUAAUGUCACGACCCGGAACCAUCCUUGAGUCUGUGACAACCGUCGCGAUGUUCCGAUAGGCACUCAUCCCCCGAAUACCAUAUCGAGACCUCGCAAGGCUUUCGUAUCAGUUUCUUAUCUCCCUUGUGGUUAAUCG